GAUCAAACUUGAUGAUUUGGAGGAAAUAAAAGUCGUAACAAGGUUUCCGUAGGUGAACCUGCGGAAGGAUCAUUA
This 75-nucleotide ribosomal RNA is filed under the name Chironomus thummi thummi. RNAcentral's name for it is "partial 18S ribosomal RNA". It matches the Rfam family "Eukaryotic small subunit ribosomal RNA", at positions 1757 to 1831 of the family's 1831-position model. Lineage: Eukaryota; Metazoa; Arthropoda; Insecta; Diptera; Chironomidae. The record is from RNAcentral.